Molecule: ribosomal RNA, 28 nt
Filed under: Chrysanthemum indicum
Lineage: Eukaryota; Viridiplantae; Streptophyta; Magnoliopsida; Asterales; Asteraceae
Description: partial 28S ribosomal RNA
Source: RNAcentral
CGACCCCAGUCAGACGACAGCCCAAAGU